Malania oleifera is the source of this 110-nucleotide small nucleolar RNA. Lineage: Eukaryota; Viridiplantae; Streptophyta; Magnoliopsida; Santalales; Ximeniaceae. The record is from RefSeq and is a predicted model, not a curated record.
UAUCCAUGGUGAGGACAUGCAUUUAAAAGGUCUUUGAAUCGUUCCCAACAAUGAUAAAAUGUUUCCACAUCCUUUUGGAAAAAAAAUUCAUAAUUUAUCUUUUCGAGGCA